Molecule: ribosomal RNA, 253 nt
Filed under: uncultured bacterium
Lineage: Bacteria
Description: partial 16S ribosomal RNA
Rfam family: Bacterial small subunit ribosomal RNA
Source: RNAcentral
UACAGAGGUCUCAAGCGUUGUUCGGAUUCAUUGGGCGUAAAGGGUGCGUAGGCGGCGCGGUAAGUCGGGUGUGAAAUCUUGGAGCUUAACUCCGAAACUGCAUUCGAUACUGCCGUGCUUGAGGACUGGAGAGGAGACUGGAAUUUACGGUGUAGCGGUGAAAUGCGUAGAUAUCAAGAGGAAUACCUGAGGUGAAGACGGGUUGCUAGGCCGACACUGACGCUGAAGCGCGAAAGCCAGGGGAGCAAACGGG